Molecule: small RNA, 929 nt
Filed under: Pan troglodytes (chimpanzee)
Lineage: Eukaryota; Metazoa; Chordata; Mammalia; Primates; Hominidae
Description: processed transcript
Source: RNAcentral
CGAGCUCUGCUUCUGCUGCCCUCGCGCUCUGCCCUGGGGGGAGGGGAGGCUCCGGAAAGGAGGUGCGUGGUCAGGGGCUGCCUCCCCAAUUCUCCUGUGUGCCCUGGGGGUCGCUGUUGAGUGCCUUGCUCUGCGGCGCUCAGGUGGACACUGGGCAGGUGCGCCAGCCAGCGAUAGGCACCUUGGCUGCUCUGUGGCUCCUUGAGGUGGGGGUCCUCAUGGCGGGGCGAGCGGCCCUGCAGGAGAUCCUCUGUGAGGCGUCCUCACUUCCCACAGUGGCUUUCCAAGUGCGACACUCGCGUGUGUAGGCACAGUGCAGAUGUGCGCACACACACACCUCCGGCUUGGGGCUCCAGGCCCGCACUGUGCUCACGGAUCUGCUCUCCCCAGGUUCUGCGGGAUGGUGCAGUUCCCCGGCGACGUGAGGAGGCAGGCCCUCCUGCAGCUGUGUCUGCUCCUCUGCCACCGUUUCCCGCUGAUCCGGAAGACCACGGCCAGCCAGGUGUACGAGACAUUGCUCACCUACAGUGACGUCGUGGGCGCGGACGUGCUGGAUGAGGUGGUGACUGUGCUCAGUGACACCGCGUGGGACGCGGAGCUUGCAGUGGUGAGAGAGCAGCGCAACCGUCUGUGUGACCUUCUGGGCGUGCCCAGGCCCCAGCUGGUGCCCCAGCCUGGUGCCUGCUGAAGCCAGUCCUGGAGCCCAUACCUCACCCCUGCCUGGUGACGAUGUCUUGUUCCUGAGGGAGGCCGGUGUGGAAAGCCUCGCACAGUGGUGCCUCCAGCUGUUGAAGGGCAGCGCUGGCCCUUGGAGGCUGGCACUAGCUGACAGCUUUUCCUCUCUGCACCUGCGCUCUGGUGACUUGGGGUGGACGCCUCUGCCUUCACUUGAACACAAAUGUGCUUCCUAUAAAAUCAUGUACCAAGAA